AGAGUUUGAUCCUGGCUCAGGAUGAACGCUAGCGACAGGCCUAACACAUGCAAGUCGAGGGGCAGCGGGGCGUGGCAACACGCCGCCGACGACCGGCGCACGGGUGAGUAACACGUAUGCAACCUGCCCCCAACAGGGGUAUAACCCGGGGAAACCCGGACUAAUACCGCGUAGUCCGAAUGAGGGCAUCCUUUUUCGGGGAAAGCUUUUUGCGGUUGGGGAUGGGCAUGCGGCGCAUUAGCUAGUUGGCGGGGUGACGGCCCACCAAGGCGACGAUGCGUAGGGGUUCUGAGAGGAAGGUCCCCCACACUGGUACUGAGACACGGACCAGACUCCUACGGGAGGCAGCAGUGAGGAAUAUUGGUCAAUGGGCGGGAGCCUGAACCAGCCAAGUCGCGUGAAGGAAGACGGCCCUACGGGUUGUAAACUUCUUUAGCCGGGGAGCAACGGCGCGGACGCGUCCGCGUGUGAGCGUACCCGGAGAAUAAGCAUCGGCUAACUCCGUGCCAGCAGCCGCGGUAAUACGGAGGAUGCGAGCGUUAUCCGGAUUUAUUGGGUUUAAAGGGUGCGCAGGCUGCCUGUCAAGUCAGCGGUAAAAUUGCGGGGCUCAACCCCGUACCGCCGUUGAGACUGACGGGCUGGAGUGCGGUUGAGGUAUGCGGAAUGCGUCAUGUAGCGGUGAAAUGCAUAGAUAUGACACAGAACACCGUUCGCGAAGGCGGCUUGCGAGCAUGGUACUGACGCUGAGGCACGAAGGCGUGGGGAUCGAACAGGAUUAGAUACCCUGGUAGUCCACGCAGUAAACGAUGAUGACUUGAUGUCGGCGGCAUACUGUCGGUGUCAAAGCGAAAGCGAUAAGUCAUCCACCUGGGGAGUACGAUCGCAAGGUUGAAACUCAAAGGAAUUGACGGGGGCCCGCACAAGCGGAGGAGCAUGUGGUUUAAUUCGAUGAUACGCGAGGAACCUUACCUAGACUUGAACGCACGGGCGAUGCGGGAGAGAUUCCGCAGCCCCUCGGGGGUCCGUGCGAGGUGCUGCAUGGUUGUCGUCAGCUCGUGCCGUGAGGUGUCAGGUUAAGUCCUAUAACGAGCGCAACCCCUGCCGACAGUUGCCAGCGUGCAAGACGGGGACUCUGUCGGGACUGCCGGCGCAAGCCGCGAGGAAGGUGGGGAUGACGUCAAAUCAGCACGGCCCUUACGUCUAGGGCGACACACGUGCUACAAUGGCCGGUACAGAGGGCAGCCACCCCGCGAGGGGGAGCGAAUCUCGAAAGCCGGUCUCAGUUCGGAUCGGAGUCUGCAACCCGACUCCGUGAAGUUGGAUUCGCUAGUAAUCGCGCAUCAGCCAUGGCGCGGUGAAUACGUUCCCGGGCCUUGCACUCACCGCCCGUCAAG
This 1394-nucleotide ribosomal RNA is filed under the name uncultured bacterium. RNAcentral's name for it is "bacterial SSU rRNA". It matches the Rfam family "Bacterial small subunit ribosomal RNA". The record is from RNAcentral.